This 797-nucleotide long non-coding RNA is filed under the name Homo sapiens (human). RNAcentral's name for it is "non-protein coding UBA6-AS1:15". The record is from RNAcentral. Lineage: Eukaryota; Metazoa; Chordata; Mammalia; Primates; Hominidae.
CUGUGUUAUUCUUUAAGAACAAUGAUGACAUUUUAUUAAUUCUAUCUUUUCCUAGGAGAAGGGAAAAUGUUACAUUGUCAAAGUCCCAAAGCCUUUCAGCCUGAAGCCAGGAACAAUUGUUCAAAGUUUCUUUGGAACAUCAAGGAAGGAAAUCCAGAUUUUACUUUAAGUGCAAUGGGGAGUCAUUAAGGAUUUUGUGUAGGUGAGUUACAUUUCGAUUAUAUUUUGAAAAGAGCAUUCUAGCUGCAUAGUGGAGAAUUGGUUAUAGGAGAACAAGAGGGAAUCGAUGAGAAAUACAGCAAAAAGACAACAAUCUUCAAGCCACAAUGGCCCUCACCAGAACCCAGCCAUGUGGUCAGCCUGAUCUCGGACUUCACAGCCAGCAGAACUGUGAGAAUUAAAUCUUCUAGGGUUUUUAUGGUUUUAGGUCUAACAUGUCUUUAAUCCAUCUUGAACUAAUUUUUGUAUAAGGUGUAAGGAAGGGAUCCAGUUUCAGCUUUCUACAUAUGGCUAGCCAGUUUUCCCAGCACCAUUUAUUAAAUAGGGAAUCCUUUCCCCAUUUCUUGUUUUUGUCAGGUUUGUCAAAGAUCAGAUGGUUUCCUUAAGCUGAUAAGCAACUUCAACAAAGUCUCAGGAUACAAAAUCAAUGUGCAAAAAUCAUAAGCAUUCUUAUACACCAAUAACAGACAAACAGCCAAAUCAUGAGUGAACUUCCAUUCAUAAUUGCACAAAGAGAAUCAAAUACCUAGGAAUCCAGCUUACAAGGGAUGUGAAGGACCUCUUCAAGGAGAACUACA